Long non-coding RNA from Cercocebus atys (sooty mangabey), 2115 nucleotides. RefSeq lists it as uncharacterized. Lineage: Eukaryota; Metazoa; Chordata; Mammalia; Primates; Cercopithecidae. The transcript has 3 exons. The record is from RefSeq and is a predicted model, not a curated record.
CAGCUAUUCAAGGAACCCAGUAAUGCCGUGAUGGUGAUGGUAGGGUUUUCCGAUUCUGCAUGAGAAGUAUAAAGGGAAAUUAUGUAAUUUACCAAGGUUGUCACGUUAAGAUGCUGGACUGGAAAUCUGGAGUCCUGCUUCCUGUGGCUAGAUAAUCCUGGGUCUGUGCGUCUUAUAAAUGGAAAUGAAAGGACCUGCCUUUCCUGUUGAUGAGGUCAUCGGGAAGAUCAAAAGGCAUAUGCAAAACAACCAGAUCCCAGAAGGGAUGAGCUCACCAGUUCAUCAUCCUCUCUUCAGAAAGGAUGUGAAUCUAAAGUGUGGGGAAAAGCCAAGGGAACCGUCACCACAUGGAAACACAAAAGCAGAGGUAUGUGAUAGUCUUUAUGCUAAUAUAACUGGAUGUUAUGCAGCUCAAAAAUAUCAUGUAUCUGCUGAAGGUGAGAAACUUAAUCUGACAAAUCCCAAGUGACACAGUCAAUUCUAGUGCAAAAUGUAGUUUCUUAACCCAAUGCCUCUCCACCCCUACUCAUGCUCCACUUCUUUUCCCUACUUCUAAUUGGGGUCAUCUAACAUCUGUGGAGUCUUACGUACUUUUGUGGUUUCAGUAGAAGGCCAUCUGCCCGGAGUUCCUGCUGGCUCCAGCUGAGGAGUGGCAAAAACCGUCAGAAAAAAAUGUCCAAGACUUGUAAUUAGGUAAAAGAGAUUCCUGGGUGUUGUUUCUGGAGAGUAAGUGCAUUGUCAUUGUCAUGAUGUGUAACUGUUUGACUUUUUACUGAGUAGUCUAUUUUACAACUCUGAAAAGGUCACUUGCAGGAAACUGAAAGUAAUGCAAGUGAUUGCUGUCCAUAACAACAUAAAUGAAUUUUUUCCAAUAGAAAUGUAAUUGAUUUCUGCCCAGUAGAAAAGAUAACUCCAAGCAUUAUGUUUUAUGAACCAAUAGAAAAAUAAUCAUCAAUCUUACAUCUUUUAGCAAAAUCAUUUCAGAAUUCUUGACUGCCUAUGUAUUACUCUUCUUCAAAUUCUCCCCUGAACAGGUCUUAACAUCUUGGUUCCAUCCUUAAUUAAUAAGCUGAAUAAAACUGUAGCAUGUGUUCAUUUUACAUUUGCAAGAGAGUCAUGACUUUAUCUUUAUAAAAUUUAUACAUAGCAGCCCUGUGUGGUCUCAGGGGUCUGUCUCUAUCUUUGCCACAUCUCAUACUGAUGUCCAUAGCUCCUCUAGCUGGUCCUAGCUAGUCCUCUGUUCUAUCACAGGUGAGGCAUGGUACUGGCUCUAGGGUUGCGGUGAGGGAGGAACACUCAGUAUCUUCCCUUGUUUUUGUUCCUCUCCACUCUUACUGGCAUUUUUCAUUCACUUAGAUCUAUUCAGAUCCACCGUCUGUCCCCAGCUUGACUAUCCUAAGACUUUGCUUUGGGGUUCUCUACCCUUCAUCAUGAAGACUGCCUGCCUGGCCUCCUUCUGUAAGUACAUAGCUAUUUCUUUGCCCCAUGGGUAUACAAGAACUUCUAAAAUCUAAUCUACAUCCACAGGUAUUGCAGGGAGUCAAGCUAUCACAGGAAUGGCUAUUUCAAGUCCUCUCUGCCUAAAUAUGCUCCAAUAACAUUGUCUGAGUCUAUUUUGUAUUAUUACAAAAGAAUACCUGAGAGUGGGUAAUUUACAAAUAAAAGAGGUUUGUUUAGCUCACAGUUUUGCAGGCUGAGAAGUUCAAGGGCAUAGUCCUGACUUCUGCGCUGCUUCACAACAUGGUGGAGAAGGUCAAAGGAGAGGCAGACAUGGGUGAAGAGGGGAAAACCUGAGGAGCAUCCUGGCUUUAUAACAACUCACUCUUGCGAGAACUAAUCCACUCCUGCAAGAAGUAGUUUCGUCUCACUAGAGCAAGAACUGACUUAUACAUGAAAACAACAGUAAGACAUUCAUGAGAGAUCUGCUUCCAUAACUUAAACACCUCCCACUAAGCUCCACCUGCCAACACUGCCACAUUGGGGAUCAAAUUUCAACAUGAGUUUGGGUGGGACAAACCAACCACAUCCAAACCAUAGCAACCAUAUUUAUGCUAUUGCUUCCAUGCUGGGUAUGCCUAGGAACACUCUGCAAAGCCUUUUCUUUGCAGAAUUCUA